Long non-coding RNA from Pongo pygmaeus (Bornean orangutan), 1205 nucleotides. RefSeq lists it as uncharacterized. The record is from RefSeq and is a predicted model, not a curated record. NCBI's taxonomy places the organism in Eukaryota, Metazoa, Chordata, Mammalia, Primates, Hominidae. The transcript is spliced from 4 exons.
AAGCAGUUGGCUUUAGCCAGAAUGGAGAUACCUGAUCAUCAGAGGCUGGAGGAAAGCAGGUUCUUCAAAAAACAAACAACAACAAAAAACAACAAAACAUGAAGAAGCCAAAUCUGGAGGACAAGUUUUCCAAAUUAAACACGAAUAUUGUUGUAGAGUAAAAUGAUACUGUUUGUAAAGAGAUGUUUUUACUAGACAUCCUCUUCCUAGCCACCUAUUAAGGAAUAACUAGAAUAUAUAUUAACAGCAAGACAUCAGAAAUUAUCUUUGCACCUGAGAAAAUGUUAAGAUUCAGAAUUUGGCUGGAUGCUACUAAAGAGCUACUGAAAUAGACCCAAUGGCAGCUACAAUGCCCAACAGAAGCAGCAAUGCCUGGUGCACAUAGCAGGUUGCUAGCUGGAGUCUCCUGGGGUGAUUCACCUGUCUUGUUGGUGAGGAUAUGGACACCAUCUGGGGACUCUCAGAAAUCCCUGAAGUGAUAUAGAGUCCCACAUGGGCUUGCCUGUGGUGUUUUACAAACCAAUCACAUAGUGUUCAUAAACCAAAGUCACUUGGAGCUUCAGAAUUGUAAAAUAUUCUCCUGAAGGUUUUCAGGCCAGCUUAUACCUGUAAAAGCUUACAGAUCUACUUGAAGCCUCUCUAAGCUCCUGGACUAGUAAAUUUCCAAAAAAUCAGCUUUCAAGAUGAUUUCCCGUUGGGUCUGAUGAAGAUUGUACCCUUCACCAGACUCUACCCAGGCUCCUCUAAGCCCUCUUCUCAACUAGAUCUCAACUGUGGUCUAUAAAGACUUAACACUAACAUAGUUUCCAACAGCUCAACCCACAUCCCAAAGGUGUUCUUCACUAGCCUUAAAGUGCCGGCCUGAGAAAACUCAAGACUGCCAAAUGAAUCUGCUGUUUUUUCCAGCCAUCACCUGAAGAUAAGGCCCCUGUCUCCUAGUCUCUGCGGGAAGGUGGGAGCCUAGCUUGGAUAAGCACCAGUUGAAAAACCCACAUGGUUUCACGUGGACCAACUCCACUUUACCACUUUUGGGAAUUUUUCACUUUCCUAACUGAGCACCUACUUUCCCCUCUCCCUGAUUCCUUCUUUUAUCCUUAAAAUGCCCAGUCACUUCUGUACAAAUCAAAGUUGAAUUUGGUUCACACUGGACUAUUUUCUCCAUUGAAAUAGUUAUCACUGAUUAAAAUCUGUCCUUACCACUUUAA